RNAcentral lists this transfer RNA (75 nucleotides) under Rhodospirillales bacterium. RNAcentral's name for it is "tRNA-Val". It matches the Rfam family "tRNA". From Rfam's summary of the family: Transfer RNA (tRNA) molecules are approximately 80 nucleotides in length. Their secondary structure includes four short double-helical elements and three loops (D, anti-codon, and T loops). Further hydrogen bonds mediate the characteristic L-shaped molecular structure. tRNAs have two regions of fundamental functional importance: the anti-codon, which is responsible for specific mRNA codon recognition, and the 3' end, to which the tRNAs corresponding amino acid is attached (by aminoacyl-tRNA synthetases). tRNAs cope with the degeneracy of the genetic code in two manners: having more than one tRNA (with a specific anti-codon) for a particular amino acid; and 'wobble' base-pairing, i.e. permitting non-standard base-pairing at the 3rd anti-codon position. Lineage: Bacteria; Pseudomonadati; Pseudomonadota; Alphaproteobacteria; Rhodospirillales. The record is from RNAcentral.
GGGCGCUUAGCUCAGCGGGAGAGCACCGUCUUCACACGGCGGGGGGCACUGGUUCAAUCCCAGUAGCGCCCACCA